Molecule: long non-coding RNA, 410 nt
Filed under: Androctonus crassicauda
Lineage: Eukaryota; Metazoa; Arthropoda; Arachnida; Scorpiones; Buthidae
Source: RNAcentral
CUCUUUUUCUUCCACCUUUUCUUUUUUUUCUCUAAUUAUAAAUUAGCAAUGUCGCAGAUGUAGAAAAUGAAAACUUGAAUGGGUUGUUCUAUUAUUCAGGCAUGUAUUGGCAUAUUUUGCACUCCAGUUGUCUGUACUAUAGCUGGGUCCAGAUAUAUACAAUACAUCUCUAUCUUUAAAUACCACAUGAAGUUUUUUGAUGCAGUUAACACUUCCUAUGGUUUAGACUUGACUCUAUUGAGACUGGAGAUGACUAUCUCCUUUGGCUGUUUCAACUUGACUGUCCUCCAAGAAUUUCUUUUUCCCAGAUCCAAAUUUGACUUUAUUUGACUUAUUCCAGAUAAGGGUCUCAGAGACAGCAUACACUCUCAUUUUUCUUCUAUUAUCUUUUUUUUUUUUCUUUAUUGCCA